This 203-nucleotide unclassified non-coding RNA is filed under the name soil metagenome. Its description in RNAcentral is "partial contains 5.8S ribosomal RNA, internal transcribed spacer 2, and large subunit ribosomal RNA". The record is from RNAcentral.
AACCUAGCACACCUGCGGUGUGUACCUGCGGAAGGAUCAUUACCUAGAGUUGUAGGCUUUGCCUGCUAUCUCUUACCCAUGUCUUUUGAGUACCUUACGUUUCCUCGGUGGGUUCGCCCGCCGGUUGGACAAAACUUAAACCCUUUGUAGUUGCAAUCAGCGUCUGAAAAAACUUAAUAGUUACAACUUUCAACAACGGAUCU